Molecule: ribosomal RNA, 253 nt
Filed under: uncultured bacterium
Lineage: Bacteria
Description: partial 16S ribosomal RNA
Rfam family: Bacterial small subunit ribosomal RNA
Source: RNAcentral
UACAGAGGUCUCGAGCGUUGUUCGGAUUCAUUGGGCGUAAAGGGUGCGUAGGCGGCGUGGCAAGUCUGAUGUGAAAUCCCGGGGCUCAACUCCGGAACUGCAUUGGAUACUGCCAUGCUAGAGUACUGGAGAGGAGACUGGAAUUUACGGUGUAGCAGUGAAAUGCGUAGAGAUCGUAAGGAAGACCAGUGGCGAAGGCGAGUCUCUGGACAGUUACUGACGCUGAGGCACGAAGGCCAGGGGAGCAAACGGG